Molecule: ribosomal RNA, 207 nt
Filed under: uncultured bacterium
Lineage: Bacteria
Description: partial 16S ribosomal RNA
Rfam family: Bacterial small subunit ribosomal RNA
Source: RNAcentral
UCUCAGUUCGGAUCGGAGUCUGCAACUCGACUCCGUGAAGCUGGAUUCGCUAGUAAUCGCGCAUCAGCCAUGGCGCGGUGAAUACGUUCCCGGGCCUUGUACACACCGCCCGUCAAGCCAUGGGAGCCGGGGGUACCUGAAGUCCGUAACCGCGAGGAUCGGCCUAGGGUAAAACUGGUGACUGGGGCUAAGUCGUAACAAGGUAGC